Molecule: ribosomal RNA, 587 nt
Filed under: uncultured bacterium
Lineage: Bacteria
Description: bacterial SSU rRNA
Rfam family: Bacterial small subunit ribosomal RNA
Source: RNAcentral
CUCCUACGGGAGGCAGCAGCUAAGAAUCUUCCGCAAUGGGCGAAAGCCUGACGGAGCGACGCCGCGUGGACGAAGAAGGCCGGAAGGUUGUAAAGUCCUUUUCCUGGGGGAGAAUAAUGCGGGGAGGGAAUGCCCUGCAGAUGACGUGAACCAGGGAAUAAGCCCCGGCUAAUUACGUGCCAGCAGCCGCGGUAACACGUAAGGGGCGAGCGUUGUUCGGAUUUAUUGGGCGUAAAGGGCGUGUAGGCGGUAGUGCAAGUCUGGUGUGAAAGGCCCCGGCUCAACCGGGGAAGCGCGCUGGAAACUGUGCUGCUAGAGUUUAGGAGGGGAAGCUGGAAUUCCUGGUGUAGGGGUGAAAUCUGUAGAGAUCAGGAAGAACACCGGAGGCGAAGGCGAGCUUCUGGCCAUAGACUGACGCUGAGGCGCGAAAGCGUGGGGAGCAAACAGGAUUAGAUACCCUGGUAGUCCACGCUGUAAACGAUGUGCACUAGGUGUUGGGGGUAUGAACUCUCGGUGCCGGAGCUAACGCGUUAAGUGCACCGCCUGGGGAGUACGCCGGCAACGGUAAAACUCAAAGGAAUUGACGG